Long non-coding RNA from Ictalurus furcatus (blue catfish), 2373 nucleotides. RefSeq lists it as uncharacterized. NCBI's taxonomy places the organism in Eukaryota, Metazoa, Chordata, Actinopteri, Siluriformes, Ictaluridae. The transcript is spliced from 3 exons. The record is from RefSeq and is a predicted model, not a curated record.
AGUAAAAUAUAAUUAAAAUGUUACAUGUUAAAGAACUGGAAUAAAGUUGGUGUGACGUUGGAUGUUCGAUAUUCGCGGAUAUGCGGCAAUCAAGGGACCGUGUCGCAUUGAUUAUAAAAUACAUUUAUCAACUUAUAAAGCACUAAACGGUCUCGCGCCACAGUAUCUAAGCGACCUUUUGGUUUUCUAUGAUCCGCCACGCCUACUUAGAUCAAAAGAUGCAGGCUAUUUGACGGUAUCGAAUAGUGAAGGCUACAGCAGGGGGGAGAGCUUUCUCUUAUAGAGCCCCACAGUUAUGGAACAGUCUUCCUAUUAGUGUUCGGGACUCAGACACAGUCUCAGUGUUUAAGUCUAGGCUUCAAACGUAUUUGUUUACUCAAGCCUACCCUGACUAGACUUUCUGUUACGCUAAGCACAGUCCUAAUAAUCUUUUCUCUCCCUCUCUCCUUCUGCCGAGCCACACACGAUUUUAUGGAGAUACUAGAGAUCCAGAUCCUCUCUGCUCUCCGGACCUGCCUGAUCCGUUUCGGAUGUCCUACCUCUAGAAGGAGCUCUCAUCUACUCCAAUUCCAGACUGCUGGGACUACGGCUGCUCCUAAGGCCAAACAGACUACAUAUAAAUCCAUAAUGAACUUUUUCACACUAUCUGUUGUUACCCAGAUGAGGAUGGGUUCCCUUCUGAGUCUGGUUCCUCUCAAGGUUUCUUCCUCUUAACAUCUUAGGGAGUUUUUCCUUGCCACCGUCGCCACUCAGUGGCUUGCUCAGUUGGGAUAAAUUCGCACUUUUAAUAUCUGUAUACCAUGUUGAUAUUUCUGUAAAGCUGCUUUGAUACAACGUCUAUUGUAAAAAGCGCUGUACAAAUAAAAUUGAAUUGAAAAAGUCUCUAAAGUUACAUACGACAUUGUUAAACACGUUUAUAACUUCAAUAGCAUUUGAAAGGAAUGACUUACAGUCAUAUAACCUACUGUAAAGUGUUCAUCUAGGUGUCAGGUAUGAGACCCACCUUUUAGAUUUUUGAUAUUUCUCAAAAUAAAUUAUUAAAAGACUAAAAGUUCUCUCAGUACUGUGGCACAAGACCAUUUAGUGCUUUAUAAAAUAAUAAUAGUAUUUUAUAAUCAAUGUGAGAUUUCACUGGGAGCCAAUGCAGUGUGGAUAAGAUCGGGGUGAUGUGGUCGUAUCUUCUGGGUCGAGUUAGGACUCUAGCAGCUGCGUUCUGGACUAACUGGAGUGUGUUUAUGGAAUACCCAGAUAGCAAGGCAUUACAGUAAUCCAACCUAAAGAGAACAUGAGUGACUCAUUCAUCAUUCCAGUGGCUGUAAUCAGCACAGGACUCACUACAAGGCAGUGUUUUUUUAUUAUCUAACUUGGUUUAACUAUGACGGCCAUCUUUGUGUCAUGGCACACAACACAUUUUGGUUAUACACCUGUUCACAGAAACCUCAACGUCUCCUAGCUGCUUGGAACAAAAACUGAUCUGUAGAGCACAUUACGAGAUUCAGGAGGAGAUGCUGUGUGUUAAAUCAGUCAUAAGAGGAAUUGAUGUGGUGGUGGUGGAGCAGGGGAGUGAUGAGAAGAUGGUACUGGAGCGUCCGAUAGAUGGGCGAGAGUUUUUCCUUUUCUCUGGAGGAUACAAGUCGGUGAAAAAAGAGACAUGAACAAAAGUGCAGGUUACUGACGGUGAUGAUAUUCACGGGAACAAUCACAGGAUGCUCCGUACUCGGCGUGUUGAUUUACAGUACACUCAACACGGAGAAGAAGAGGCACUAGAUAACACACACACACACCUCUACAGUGAAUACGUGUGCUCUGUGUGUGUGUGAAGUUGUGUAAAUGAGUGGUGUGCGGUGAGUCGUGCUGUUAAGAGGAAAAUACUCGACUGGGUGGUGUGAUGAAAUGGAGCUACUGUUCAUUAUUUUCCUAACAGCACGUCUUCAAGGGUUUUAUUCCCUUAAUUAUUUGUUCUCAUGUUACAGAAGCUAUAAACAGUCGUUCCCUCACCAGCCUCUCUCUAUUCUCUCUCUUUAUUCUCUCAUAACAUCGCAUUGUGGUGUUAGGGAGAAACAGUAAAGAAGUGUAAACUCCUCUGUCCUGAAGACGUUGAAAACUUAAAGUUACAGCUUCACCUCUGACUGUCACACAGCGCUGACCCUGGAGACUCCUUCCAUACACGUUACAUCAACACAAUUAUCCUUGCAGAUCAAAGAUUAUAAACGGUUUUUAGUCAGUUUAUCAUCAGUAGAGCGUGCGCUGUACACGUCCCUGUGAACGAGCCGUUGCUAUAGAAACGAAAACAUAUUAGAAUUAGAGCGAGUGCUUUAAUAUAAACCUGCGCUACUCUCAGAGCUGCUGUUCUAGAGAACUAAUCAGUCGUGU